The submitters of this non-coding RNA (98 nucleotides) gave its source as unclassified sequences. The record is from Rfam.
AUCAUGAUACUUCUGUCCAGCCACAGCCCCGCAGGGAUGCGGGAUCACGCAAUGGGGGGCAGCCCGUGGAGAAGCCUCGGGAGGUGAAAUUCCUAUGA